GACGAACGCUGGCGGCGUGCCUAAUACAUGCAAGUAGGACGCAGUUGCGAACGGGUGAGUAACGCGUAGGUAACUGCCUAUUAGAGGGGGAUAACUAUUGGAAACGAUAGCUAAUACCGCAUACUAGUAGAUGGACCUGCGUUGUAUUAGCUAGUAGGUAGGGUAAUGGCCUACCUAGGCAACGAUACAUAGCCUACCUGGGAGGGGGAUCCGCCACACUGGGACGUAGACACGGCCCAGACGCCUACGGGAGGCAGCAGUAGGGAAUCUUCGGAAAUGGGGGGAACCCCGAACAGGCAACGCCGCGUGAGUGAAGAAGGUUUUCGGAUCGUAAAGCUCUGUUGUUAAGGGAGCGGUACUUAACCAGAAAGGGACGGCUAACUACGUGCCAGCAGCCGCGGUAAUUC
Molecule: ribosomal RNA, 407 nt
Filed under: uncultured bacterium
Lineage: Bacteria
Description: partial 16S ribosomal RNA
Rfam family: Bacterial small subunit ribosomal RNA
Source: RNAcentral